Molecule: ribosomal RNA, 254 nt
Filed under: uncultured bacterium
Lineage: Bacteria
Description: partial 16S ribosomal RNA
Rfam family: Bacterial small subunit ribosomal RNA
Source: RNAcentral
UACGUAGGGUGCAAGCGUUGUCCGGAUUUAUUGGGCGUAAAGAGCUCGUAGGCGGUUUAGCAAGUCGGGUGUGAAAACUUCAGGCUCAACCUGGAGAUGCCACUCGAGACUGCUAUGACUUGAGUCUGGUAGGGGAGCACGGAAUUCCUGGUGUAGCGGUGAAAUGCGCAGAUAUCAGGAGGAACACCGGUGGCGAAGGCGGUGCUCUGGGCCAGUACUGACGCUGAGACGCGAAAGCGUGGGGAGCGAACAGG